UGAAAUUUAGCUAUGACUUUAUUUGGGUUGAAUACAUGGAUUUUUUUUUUCAUGUCAUCUUUCUAAUCUUAAAGUAGAAAUGUAUUUACAUUGUUUAUAUACAAAUUGACAAUUAGAGGUGGGACACAUAAGAGUAAACUCUAGCGUGGCCCUGGAAAGUUACAUUGAGAAUUAAGAUUUCCUGAGAAUAAUCAACAGCCAGAUAACAGUAUCUCUAAAAAUUCUCAGAAGACAGCCUCUUCCAUGUGUUAUGAUCUGCAAUGUUUGGUGGUUUCAAAAUCUCCAGAUGUUUGGGUAGGGUGACUCCUUUUCUGGGUACAGGUCCAAAAAGAAGAGACAGCCUGGUUUUUAUUUCCAAGAAUGAUGCCACAGGUCAGUGUUGCCUGAAGUGGAGCAUGCCGGGAAGAAGCGCCAGAAUGGCCUUUGAUAUACCGGGUACACUAGAGGCUCAGUUGCAGUCAUGAUGGAUUAUUGACAAACUGUGUUUCUGUGAUGCGUUGUUUUGAAAGCAUAUGUUUACUCUGAUGAGGCUCUGUUCCAAGUUUGUGUCAGUGUUCAGUGCACUUGUUUUAUUUACGUAUAUUAUCCUUGUCCCAGAGAUUCCUAACCACAAGACACAAGGCACAAUUUUGUUAGUCAUGCUUCCCUCCCACAAAAUCCAUGUUGAAUAGUUAUGAUUCUGAACUCAUUGCGGGUCCUUGAAAUAAAUUUUUAAAAAAUUACAAAAAAUAAAGGGAGUUCCCGUCGUGCCUGAGCAGUAAUGAAUUGACUAGUAUUCAUGAGGACGCAGGUUCGAUCCCUGGCCUCGCUCAGUGGGUUAGGGAUCCAGCGUUGCCAUGAGCUGUGGGGUAGGUCGCAGACAUGGCUUGGAUCUGGCAUUACCAUGGCUGUGGCUGUGGAGGAGGCUGGCAGCUACAGCUCCGAUUUGACCCCUAGCCUGGGAACUACCAUAUGUCAUGGACGCAGCCUCAAAAAGCAAAGAAAAAAAAGAUGCAGAGAUGAAAUAUAGACUGAUCUUUUUAAGGGCUUUGUUAUUAAGGGAAGAAGCGAUACAGGCUGUUGCUAAUGCAGAGUGGCCCGUCUUCUUUAAAAAGGAGAGAUUUGAGCAUGUUUGUUCGCCGUGGCAAAGGAGCCAGUGGAGAGGGAGGGGCUGAAAAUGCAGAAUGCCUAGCGGAGCCCCCUCUGGGAGGCAGGAGGCGGGCAGGCUCAGGGAGAGCUCGCAGUGCACCUGUGGGCACAGGGGCUGGGGGUUGAGUUGGGCUAAGCGUGGUGUCUGCUGAGCAGGACUCGUGGAAGGACAGAGGGUGAAGGUCACUGAGUGACAGGAGAGGCACUGGAGGAUCUAGGGUCUGAGUAGACUUGAGACCCUCGACUGGGUGGGAAAGUGCGUAGAGCUGUGAAAGGCACGGGAUGGCCUCAGUGAAAACCUGCAGCUUCAGGUUUGUAUGUGGAAGCCCAUCCAUGGUCACAUGCACUUCAGUCGCAUUUGGGGGCCCCCCCAAGCUCCUUCACACCCACGGGCCUUCGCUAGACCCCAUCGGAGCAAGAGAAGCAACAGUGCGUUUCCCACGUGGGACAGAGUUCUCUGGUUUCCGCUCCCUUCUUGAGCCAUCAGAACACCAUCUCCUUCACACAAAGCAUAAAUAGUUUCAAAAGAUGUCACUGGGACAAUGACAUAGCAGCAUCUUAGCUCCUGAAGUCAUGGGCGUUCAGCCUGAGCUGGACCCUGGGGCCUGGAUUUCCUCAGGCCUCUCCCACACCUGUGCGUGGAUGUGGUCCCAGCAGUAGCACCUGGGGUUCUGCGGGCUCAUGACGACCUCGUGUGUGACACCUGCAGGACCCCAGCCUCCCCGGUGACAGCACCGUGGCCCUCACAGCCUCUGCUGUGGACUGCAAACAGUCCUUCCAGAUUCCGCACCGAGUCCCCUGUAAGCCCUUGCGCUGCCAAGGCGACAGCAUGCUGCUUCAGUCCCACCAAGCAGAGGUGGGGAAAGCACCCCCACACACUGCCUGCCACUGUGUCACCUGGGCUCUGAAGCAAGUGCCUCAGGGAGACGGACCCCUGCCCCAACCCCUCUCUCUUCAGAAGUUCCAAUGAGCCUGGGGUCAGACCACAUCUGCUCCCCCCGUAUUUCCUCUCUCUUCCCACGGAUUCCCACGUCCAAAGCCUCCUCCUGGUGGGUUUCCUGUCUCUCAAGACACUCGAACCCUCGAAUAGACUCCGAAGUCUCCUGGCCCACGGGUCACCCCACAGGAUGACUCUGAUCUCAUCCCAGGCUUCUCUGGACACCGCUGCUAAUUUCCUAGAGCAAGUGGUGCAGAUGUGCCUGCGGCCUCUUAAGUUGCCCUUGCCCUGCUCUGCAGCAAAUCCUCUCUGUGGGCCGAUCUAAUAGGUGCAAUUUUUUUUUUUUUUUCUUUUGCCAGUGUACCUUUUCCAUGCUUGAGGAUUUUAAUUUGAUUAUUCGUAAGUGUCUGGCUGCCCCUGAUAAAUCCAGUCCGAAGAAGGAGCUGGAAGCAGGAAGGGCAAAGGCAGGGGCGAGGAGGGAGGAUCUUGAGACCCGGUUCUGCUGUCCGAUGACGCUGCCAUAACCACGUUCCCCGGUUUGGGGGCUCCGGCAGUGGAAAUACACUAGCUCAGCGCGCCGGAGGCCGGAAGCCUGAGAUCGAGGUGUGGGCAGGGUUGGCUGCACCCGGGGCCUCUGUCCUGGGCUUGGAGACGGCCGUCUUCCCCGCAUCCUCCCGUCGUCUUCCUUCCUUCCUUCCUUCCGUGUGUGUGUGUGUGUGUGUGUGUGUGUGUGUGUGUGUGUCCUGAGCGCCUCUUCCUCCAAGGACACCAUCAUGCAUCUUAGCUCAUUUCGCCUCACUUCCUUCUUUAAAGGCUCUACUUCCAAAUGCAGUUACAUUCCGAGUUGCCGGGCACAGGACCUGGACAUACGCAUUUGAAGGAGACGCAAUUUUACCGUAACUCUGGCCCUGUGGAGUCAAGAGACGGCAAGGGCAUUGAAGCAGGACCUGCCUGUGAGACCCCGAGCUCUAUGGGCUGAGGGGGCCUCCCUGGGGCGGGGCCGGCAGAGCUUGGUGAUGUGCGCUGCCCUCCUCUCGUGGGACCCAGUGCCAGGCCAUCGUGGGCAGAACGGAAGGCAUCUAUGCCACAUUCCAACGAGGGGUUUGGAAAAUCCCGUGGAAUCAUGAGCUUUUAUUAAUUGAAGGCUUCCCAAAGACCUGUCUACCUUGAUCAAAAGAUGACUCUCUCUUCGUGACCACAGGGAGCCCUCAGGGACAGGAACUGGCUCCUGGACAUCCAUGACCUCAAGGCUCGAGACCAGAAAGACAAAAUGUUCGCACAGAUGCAGAACAAAAGCAUCAUUCAUGGUGAUGGCAUCACUGAAACUGUCAGACAGGAAGAUUACCAAGGGUUUGGCGUGAGUGGGGAAAUGUAAAUGAAAAUUUGAAAACCGUACCUGGGCCGUAUUCUCAUUUAAGGACUGGAAAUACCAACUAGAACCUAUUGAUUUAUGGUGCUAACUUUAUUGUUUUAUCCAAAAAAAAAAAAAAGUGUCUAAGGUUUUCUCAGAUUCCCCUGAGAUCUUGGUGCCCAAACUCUAAACUCUAUUUUCUUUAUGAAGACUUGAGUCCCAAAAGGGCAUGUGUUCCUGGGUGACUAUGGCGGGGAAAGGGCUUCUGUGGCACUUUUCGAGGUCGAAGCCCAAGAUGCUGUUUUGGGGGAGAGGGAGUCACAGCCUUGAGAUAGACGGUCUCUUUCCUGGUUUAUAGCUCAGCGCGUAAGAUACACGUAUUUCAUUUUAACUUCAGGAUCAAUGUACAGUGUCUUCAAGCACACCAAGUGCUUCGAAGGGAUGUGCGCCAGGAUCACCUUUCUGGUGGUGAAACAUGGGUACUCCUUGCACUUGUCAUGGCCCCGACGUGCUAAUCCAGGAUUCCCUCAUCACUCAGUACAUUUUUAUUAAGGACCUGCUGUGUCCUAAGGACUGCGUCGUCCGCUGCGAACACAAGGCCCCUCCCCCAGGGAUUUAUAGCGGGUUAAGUGCCCGGGUGACCUAACAGGGAGGCACCGGGGGGCGGGAGGGAUGUCAGGGAGAGCCGAGUGGGGUGUGAUGGAGAGGUAAGCAGAAGCCGAGGGGUGCUAAGUGUAGCCCCCGAGUGAUUCAACACAUCGGAUUGAGAGGUCCCAAUUCCCCUUCGAAAAAGAUGGCCAGGACGGCCGUGGGCACGAGGGACUGCGGGAGGUCAGGGCCGAGCAGAGCAUCGAGUGAGGAGGCGGCCGUGGUCCGGGUGAGAGGAUGGGGUGGGCGGUCGACGCUGAUGGACGAGCACAGGGUGCCCUCCUCGCGGGCCCGUGGCCGCAGGCAGGAGAGGCCGCCUGGGAGAGGGGCUCGCCAAGAGAGAUGCGCUGAUAACCUCAGCAGCUCGAGUUUGGUCCAGGCUCUGCGGGAACCUCCGUACGGCCAGGACGAUUAAAGGCUCUAGAGGGGAAAGAGACACACUUCCCUUGAGGGCACCAGGCUUUUUUUCCACCCUUUGGCUGGAAAGCCAGCCCUGUGUGGAUGGGUUGGGGCGGCCCUGCGUGGAGACAGGGGCCUGCAGUGGGGAACCCGAAGUCAUCGCAGGCGUGGGUCCCCACCUCUGGUGCUUCAUGUGCACGCUGGCCGAGCCGUUUCCCUUCCUAAGGUGUUGUCCCCUAUGGCAGCCACUAGCCCCACAGGGCCACUUAAAUGUAAAUGUAUUAAAUUUAAAAUUGACAUUAAAUUAAAAUUUAUAAGUGAAUUAAAUUUUAAAUUGAAAUUAAAUUUAAAAUUUAUAAGCGACCCUGUCUAUGGUGUUUUUUUUGGGACAGCAGCCUGAAUGGGCUCAGGAUGCCUUGCCUGCUCUCCUAGACCCCCUGUGACCUUCCCUCGUGAGUGGCUUGCCCUUGCCCAGGGCCAUCCUCAUGGGACGGGGACCCCAGGGCCUCUCUACCCCAUGUCUCACAGCCACCCACCAGCCCUACUCCCUCCCAGGCCAAGAACCCGCUCUUGGACCAGCCGUGGCCCCUUUUGCUAAGGUCAGCAGGUAGUAUGUUCCAGAAGAGGCUGUGACCCAGGGGGCAGAGAGCCUGGACAGAGAGCAGGAAUCAUGUGCUUUGUGCUCCGCCUCCGCAGAGACCGGCUGGGUUUCUUAAGGGUGAAUGUGGACGUGGGCCUUGGAGGCGGCGGCCCACAGGAGAAAGAGGACGGAGGGGAAUGUCACUCCCGGGGCCGUGAAGGAGUGACGGGGCCUCAGAAGAGAAACAGUAAAUUAAAGACAAGGUGCACGAAUGGCGUGCUUUCCCUGUACUUCAGAGAGCAGGUUCCAUCUAUAUUUCAACACCCGGCACGCUCAAGAAUGGAGCAGACACACACGUGCUUGCAAAACCAAAACACAGCUGGUAGGUCUAAUUUUAGGUCCCUAAGCGUUGGCAGUGUCCCUUCAUCCAGUGAGCGCUGUCUGAUCUCCCAGAGUCUGUGCCAAGAGCCAGACUCCGCCAAGCUCCCUGACAGUCCUGUGUGCAAGCCGGAAGGUGGGUGGCGCCCCUCUGGGCCUGGGGUCCCCAGGAGGGGGAUCCAUCAUGACAAGGGGAUGGGGCGGCCCUUCUUGCAGGCUCAGUCCGGGGCCUCAACUUGUUUGGGGGAACCUCUAAAAAAUAGCAGUUUGAAAAGUAGUCUUGGGGAGUUCCCGUCGUGGCGCAGUGGUUAACGAAUCCAACUAGGAACCAUGAGGUUGCAGGUUCAAUCCCUGGCCUCACUCAGUGAGUUAAGGAUCUGGUGUUGCCACGAGCUGUGGUGUAGGUUGCAGACGUGGCUCGAAUCUGGCAUUGCUGUGGCUCUGGCGUAGGCCAGUGGCUACAGCUCCGAUUCGACUCCUAGCCUGGGAACCUCCACAUGUCGUGGGUGUGGCCCUAGAAAAGAGAGAAAGACAAAAAAAAAAAAAAAGAAAGAAAGAAAGAAAGAAAAGGAGUCUUGGAAAGAAAAAUGUAAUCAUACCAGGUUCACCCAGCAGGUGCGUUCGGGAAUAGAGAGGGGCUUCAGGAAUAAACUGUUUGCCCAGAAUCAUGCUUGCAUGGAAUAUAAACUC
This 6111-nucleotide long non-coding RNA is filed under the name Sus scrofa (pig). Its description in RNAcentral is "lncRNA (ENSSSCG00040031176.1)". The record is from RNAcentral. Lineage: Eukaryota; Metazoa; Chordata; Mammalia; Artiodactyla; Suidae.